Paramuricea clavata is the source of this 1021-nucleotide non-coding RNA. Lineage: Eukaryota; Metazoa; Cnidaria; Anthozoa; Malacalcyonacea; Plexauridae. The record is from the annotation of a GenBank genome assembly.
CUUAGUUCUGCAGGCACACAGGAACUGAUUUCUCAUCCGGGCAUUUUGAUGCUAAUUUUAGCCUCUGGAAGAAAAGUCUGAAAACGUGUUGAGAUUGUGGUCGCUGUUUGUGGCUAAAUUUUGGCUUUUUUACAAGUUCUAUUGCCUGUUUUUGACAAAAUAACAACAUGGGAAGGAAAAAGAAAAAGCCCAUGAAGCCUUGGUGCUGGUAUCCUUUGAAUAUUCUCAUAUUUAGUGCGUUUUUUUUAGUUUUGAAAUUUGUCUUCACCGGUUUCAAACGGCUUUAUAUUUUGAAAAUUUUAUUAUAUGUUCUAGUAUAAAUAUGGUAGAGGUUUUUAAAACUAAACGUGGAGUUAUGGGUAAGUAUAUUUGUUAUAGUACAUGGCAAAACUUUAAUACAUAAGUAGGGAAAUAUAUAAAUAUGGAAUUUUCUUUGUAUAAUUUUGUAUUAAAAAAUAUGUACAGAUUUGUGAAACGAAAAUGGCAGUGGUAUUAUAUUUAUUUAAAAGAAAAUCCAUGAAUGUUUUUAGGGUUCGGUUCUGGUCAGAAACUGAUGAAAAAAGCAUGGCUAGAACCGGAACUCUUUGUUCACUAGGAAAAGGUUCAUUUGUUGAUGAACAUUGACCAAAUGGUUUAGAAUUGAUAGAACAAAGUGGUCUAAAUAUUAAAAGCCAGUUUAGUUUAUUUUUAGCCUGAAAGAACGUAUGUUCCUUAAUAUAGACCACAGGUAUUGUAACAGGGAGUUUGAUGAUGAAAAAGUGCUUAUUCAGCACCAAAAAGCCAAGCAUUUCAAAUGUUUUAUUUGCCACAAAAAAUUGUACACAGGUCCUGGUUUAGCCAUUCAUUGCAUGCAAGUUCACAAAGAACAUGUUAGCGCCAUACCAAACUCAUUGCCGAACCGAGGUGACCCUGAAAUUGAGAUUUACGGCAUGGAGGGUAUUCCUGACAAGGAUGUGAAGGAAAGACGACAGAAACUUGCACAGAUGGCGCAAGGUGGCGAUGACGAUGAUGACGAAACUGG